AGAAGUUCAUUCAAUGGGACUUGCUGUCAGGAAGUUAGACAAAAUGGGGCCUCUGUAGGCAAGGAAGGAAGUCUGAGUGUAUGCCCCAGCUGGGUCGUGUGCCCACAGGGGACGAGGAGGAGGAGGAGGACGGGUCCCGGGAGGAGCGGCUGCCGUCGUGCUUUGACUACGUGAUGCACUUCCUGACGGUGUUCUGGAAGGUGCUCUUUGCCUGUGUGCCCCCCACCGAGUACUGCCACGGCUGGGCCUGCUUUGGCGUCUCCAUCCUGGUCAUCGGCCUGCUCACCGCCCUCAUUGGGGACCUCGCCUCCCACUUCGGCUGCACCGUUGGCCUCAAGGACUCUGUCAAUGCUGUUGUCUUCGUUGCCCUGGGCACCUCCAUCCCUGACACGUUCGCCAGCAAGGUGGCGGCGCUGCAGGACCAGUGCGCCGACGCUUCCAUCGGCAACGUGACCGGCUCCAACGCGGUGAACGUGUUCCUGGGCCUGGGCGUCGCCUGGUCUGUGGCUGCCGUGUACUGGGCGGUGCAGGGCCGCCCCUUCGAGGUGCGCACUGGCACGCUGGCCUUCUCCGUCACGCUCUUCACCGUCUUCGCCUUCGUGGGCAUUGCCGUGCUGC
This 618-nucleotide small RNA is filed under the name Pan troglodytes (chimpanzee). RNAcentral's name for it is "retained intron". Lineage: Eukaryota; Metazoa; Chordata; Mammalia; Primates; Hominidae. The record is from RNAcentral.